Salvia miltiorrhiza (redroot sage) is the source of this 1343-nucleotide long non-coding RNA. RefSeq lists it as uncharacterized. Lineage: Eukaryota; Viridiplantae; Streptophyta; Magnoliopsida; Lamiales; Lamiaceae. The transcript has 2 exons. The record is from RefSeq and is a predicted model, not a curated record.
UCUAUCGCGCGGAAGUUUCAAUACAACUCCCCGUUAAGAUCUUGCCACGUUGCAAGCAUUUUUUAUUCGAGUAAAACUUUUUUUUAAUGCAGAAAAUAGCUAAACCUUGGUUGCUUUUUCCAACCAUUGUUAUACGCUUAUCGAGAGCCGAUUUUCUCUCAUUGCAUUUUACAUUUCCACCCCUCCUUCUAUUGGUUUUUUAAGGCUACAUGGGUUGGCUUUGAGGGGGCUGGAGGGGUCGUUUGUGAGGGGUUUUUUAAAACUACAUAAAGCGUGUGAAUGGUUUUCACGAUUUCAUAUUCUAGCCGAUUUAAUUGCAUUUUACUUUUCUACCCCUCCUUUUUUUUUAACAAUAAUGGCCGAAGGGGUCGGCUUUGAGGGGGUUGAAGGGGUUGGCUUUGAGGGUUUUUUAAUACUACAUAAAGCGUGUGAAUGGUUUUGACGAUUUCACAUUCUACACGAUUUAAUGCUCCCCGUCUUCUUCAUUUAGAGCCGACCGUGAAUUUUCUCUGCAACAUGGUGCCCGUCAUAAUUUUGGUCUUGGCCGGCCACAUGUUCCCGUCCAUUUUUCCAGUCGGUCACGCCUCAGUGGCUCACAGCACCUCUUAAAAUUUUUUCUGGACUAUUUAAUGAAGCAGUUUAAGUAGCUCUCGUAUUUCUGUGUUGACCUUUAAUUGUUCUUCCUCCUUCCGAUGACACCAACCGAAGCACUCAUGCAGUAAUGUAAUGGCGAUGCAAAAUGGAAGAGCAUGGACCAAGCACGAAGAAGAAGAGUUGUUAAGUAUACUCCACUAUGUUGCAACAGAUUACGACCCAAAUAUGGGGAAUCCCUCUUUCAUGAGCGGUGUCAUUGAUGAAAUCGAACAUGCAAUUGGCUGGUUGGUUCAACAGCGUCUGCGAGCAACUCGGGCGGAUAUCAUCUCUAAGGUGCGAUUCCACAUAGAACGAUGGACCAGCUUCCAAAGGUACCUUGCCCGUGAGGACAUCCUUAGAUACGACAAAGAAAGCAACGAAGUCAUUGUGUGCCCAAUGAAAUUCACGAUGGAAACUGUAAGUAAUGUUAUUGUCAUAUUAGUGCUGAUAUUUUCUUAUUAUUGAAAUGUAUUAUUAUUUGUUUGUAUAUACAGGAGACGGAGGAGGAAGCAAGUUUCAGGCUGAAUGGGUUUCCGGACUAUGCAUGCAUGGAGCAGAUCAUGGAAGCUCAUGGAAUCGAAUCUGUGCCAUGGGACCUAGUGGUUUGAAGGACUGUUAUUCGUAGUUUAUGAACUAUUUAUGUUUUUCUCUAAAUGAUGGACAAUUUAUGUUAUAUUCUUGAAUACUUUAUGUAUGUAUUAAUUAAAAUA